RNAcentral lists this ribosomal RNA (463 nucleotides) under uncultured bacterium. RNAcentral's name for it is "partial 16S ribosomal RNA". It matches the Rfam family "Bacterial small subunit ribosomal RNA", at positions 28 to 507 of the family's 1533-position model. The record is from RNAcentral.
GACGAACGCUGGCGGCGUGCUUAACACAUGCAAGUCGAACGGAAAGGCCCUGCUUUUGUGGGGUGCUCGAGUGGCGAACGGGUGAGUAACACGUGAGUAACCUGCCCUUGACUUUGGGAUAACUUCAGGAAACUGGGGCUAAUACCGGAUAGGAGCUCCUGCUGCAUGGUGGGGGUUGGAAAGUUUCGGCGGUUGGGGAUGGACUCGCGUCUGAUCAGCUUGUUGGUAGGGUAGUGGCUUACCAAGGCUUUGACGGCUAGCCGGCCUGAGAGGAUGACCGGCGACACGGGAACUGAGACACGGCCUCGACCGGGACGGAGGGGAGCGGUGGGGAAUAGUGGAGGAGGGGCGAAAGUGUGACAAAGCAGUGCGGGGGGAGUGGGGAAGGGCGUAGGGUUGCAAAGCUGUCUGAGACGGGAUGAGAGUGACAGUACCGGGAGAAGAAGCGCCGGCUAACUACGUG